Molecule: long non-coding RNA, 1317 nt
Filed under: Nicotiana benthamiana
Lineage: Eukaryota; Viridiplantae; Streptophyta; Magnoliopsida; Solanales; Solanaceae
Description: long non-coding RNA (NBEN_LNC005912)
Source: RNAcentral
AACAGCCUUAUGCCACAGUUUACUUCUAGCUUGACAGCAAAUCCAAUGAAGUUCAGCAUCCCAACUACCAAUUUUUCUGUUAUAGCCCAGCCAACGACAUAUUCUAAGCCACAGUCGAUUAGUGACUGGGCAUUCAAAACACAGAUGAGCGUUAUAGCCCAACCAACGACAUAUUCUAAGCCACAGUCGAUUAAUGACUUGGCAUUCAAAAAACAGAUGAGCAAAUUCUUCAACCUGUUGGUCACAGAAUACACAUUUCUCAGCUACAUUCACUCCAAUAUUAAGUAAUCUGUCGACAGUAGGCAGUCGACCAUGAGCAACAAGCCAAGCAGUGAAUUUAUGCUGAGGCAGAACAUUAGAUGUCAACAGCAGAUUCUUCCAUUCCACCCUAGGAAAGAUAGGAAGCAUUAUAUGGUAUAGUUUCUGAAUAUGGAACCUGCCUAACCUGCACAGUCCAUCCAGUCUAAGCAGGAGAUCACCUUGCAGUUGUUGAUUAUUCAGAAGAGAAGAUCUGCUCUCUAUUAUCUUUCCAAUUACCCAAGAUGCUGCCUUGGGAAUGGGCAUUGUAGCAAUGUCACAGUUCUUAAUGUAAUAGUAGUGUAUCCACUUGAUCCAUAGACAAUCCUUCUUCCUAGCCAAAUCCCACAGGAGCUUAGUGAUAGCUGCCUUAUUCCAUAUAUGCAUGUUUAUAAUGUUGAGUCCUCCAGCAGUGACAGGUUUACAGAUCCUCUCCCAUGCUACCGGAGCUCUUUUAGAUAUUUUUGCACUCCCAGUCCAUAAAUAAGAUCUGCUGACAGCUUCAAUGAUUUUCAGAACUUUCUUUGGCAAGAUGAAUAUUUGUGCCCAAUAAGUUUGAAUCCCAAAUGUCACAGUUUUGAUUAAUUGACUCCUUCCUGCAUAAGAUAAUAAUUUGGCAGACCAGCAGGUGAUUUUAUCAGUUAUCCUCUCUAUCAAUGGCAGAUAAUGGUGGAUGGCAAGCUUCUUUGAGUGGAGAGGUAUCCCUAAGUAUUUGAAAGGCAUUUGGCCCUCAAUGAAUCCUAGAGACUCUAGUAUGGCUUCUUUGACAUUUUGAUGAACCCCAGCCAUAUAAAUAGCACUCUUAGUGUUGUUUGCAUACAAUCCAGAAGCUACAGAGAAUGUAUGGAAAGCAUCAUGCAGGAUCUGGAUAGAAAUAAUAUCUGCCCGACAGAAAAGGAGGAGAUCAUCAGCAAAACAAAUAUGGGCACAGUUCAGCUUCCUGCAUCUUGGAUGGAAGUUGAAAUCUCCAUUUCUGUGUAACUGAGCCAAUAGCCUAUUCAAGUAUUCCAUAGCCAGAAC